This 554-nucleotide unclassified non-coding RNA is filed under the name Hevea brasiliensis (rubber tree). The record is from RNAcentral. Lineage: Eukaryota; Viridiplantae; Streptophyta; Magnoliopsida; Malpighiales; Euphorbiaceae.
UAUAAGAAGCUAUAUCCCCGAUGGAUUUUUGAGCUCAGGUUGGUAUUGCUCUUUGCUGUAUUAUCAAAGUUUUUAAUUUGCGUUGGUUGAAUUUAUAUUGAAGUAAUUAUGCAAUGAAUAUUGAAAUAGGUAUCCUAUAAUGAAAUGCAUAUACAUAUAUGAUGCACAUGAAGAGGGCAAGAGAUUAUUAUAAGGGUUUUUUCCUUUCUUGCCUAAAAGAGUAGCUGCAUAGGCAAGAUGAAGCAAUUAACAAACAUCCAGUUCAGGAAACUGGAUGGAAUCAAGUUUAGUAGGAAUUGUCUAAUUUUGUUGAUAUCAACAAAGGGAUUUACAAAGAGGUGCAUUCACUACCUGUUUAGGUGGUUACUGCUUUUAGUCUGAGACACCAUAUCUCUUUCUUACAAUGCAACUAGUUUGUGGUUUUGCAUAGAUGGCCACAUGGCCCAACUAAUUUCAGGGUGCUUGUUUUUGUCAUAGUUCUUUUGUCGAUUAAGAGAGUUUUGUGAAAUUAUGUGACAUUUCAUUAAUGUUUUUAUUUGUUCUUUAUUAUGAAU